AGGAAGUCAGACUUUGCCAAGCAGUGUUUAGGUAUAAAGGUCAGAUUGGGAAAAACCUGCUAGAUCCAGCUGGUGACACUAGCAGAUGCCAGGUCUCUAGUGGAUUCAUCUGAGCUUUGGAGAGAACACCAGCUUCAUCUUCUCUCCUCACUUCAAGGCAAUGGGAAUUCCCAUAACACAUCCAGAGGCACAAAAAAGGCAUUGCCAUCUAAGGAGAACUGAACACUCAUGGAGAACUGAACACCCAUGCAGAAGCAAUAAAAAGAAGGCAGUGAUGGGA
This is a long non-coding RNA of Vidua chalybeata, 280 nucleotides long. RefSeq lists it as uncharacterized. The record is from RefSeq and is a predicted model, not a curated record. Lineage: Eukaryota; Metazoa; Chordata; Aves; Passeriformes; Viduidae. The transcript has 2 exons.